UACGAAGGGGGCUAGCGUUGUUCGGAAUCACUGGGCGUAAAGGGCGCGUAGGCGGCUUUAUAAGUCGGGGGUGAAAGCCUGUGGCUCAACCACAGAAUUGCCUUCGAUACUGUAGAGCUUGAGACCGGAAGAGGUAAGUGGAACUGCGAGUGUAGAGGUGAAAUGCGUAGAUAUUGGGAGGAACACCAGUGGCGAAGGCGGCUCGCUGGACCGGUUCUGACGCUGAGGCGCGAAAGCGUGGGGAGCAAACGGG
This 253-nucleotide ribosomal RNA is filed under the name uncultured bacterium. RNAcentral describes it as "partial 16S ribosomal RNA". It matches the Rfam family "Bacterial small subunit ribosomal RNA", at positions 524 to 776 of the family's 1533-position model. The record is from RNAcentral.